This 496-nucleotide ribosomal RNA is filed under the name uncultured bacterium. RNAcentral's name for it is "partial 16S ribosomal RNA". It matches the Rfam family "Bacterial small subunit ribosomal RNA", at positions 28 to 506 of the family's 1533-position model. The record is from RNAcentral.
GAUGAACGCUGGCGGCGUGCCUAAUACAUGCAAGUCGAGCGAACAGACGAGGAGCUUGCUCCUCUGACGUUAGCGGCGGACGGGUGAGUAACACGUGGAUAACCUACCUAUAAGACUGGGAUAACUUCGGGAAACCGGAGCUAAUACCGGAUAAUAUAUUGAACCGCAUGGUUCAAUAGUGAAAGACGGUUUUGCUGUCACUUAUAGAUGGAUCCGCGCCGCAUUAGCUAGUUGGUAAGGUAACGGCUUACCAAGGCAACGAUGCGUAGCCGACCUGAGAGGGUGCUCGGCCACACUGGAACUGAGACACGGUCCAGACUCCUACGGGAGGCAGCAGUAGGGAAUCUGCCGCAAUGGGCGAAAGCCUGACGGAGCAACGCCGCGUGAGUGAUGAAGGUCUUCGGAUCGUAAAACUCUGUUAUUAGGGAAGAACAAAUGUGUAAGUAACUAUGCACGUCUUGACGGUACCUAAUCAGAAAGCCACGGCGAACUACGU